ACUUUUAGUAGAGACGGGGUUUCACCGUGUUAGCCAGGAUUGUCUGGAUCUCCUGACCUCGUAAUCCACCCACCUGGCCUCCCAAAGUGCUAGGAUUACAGGUGUGAGCCACGGCGCCCUGAGGACUGGCAGACCCACCUGACUUUCUUGGAGUAGAGGAGGAAGAGGAGGAAGAAGAGGUGCAGGAGGAAGACCAGGGUGUGGCUGACAUCUAGCUGGAUGCAGUGGAUGAUUCUGGAGGACCUCUUGCCCUUCUCCUUCAUGACCUGUAGGGCGGGGCCAAGAGGAGGAAGCAGCCUCAGAACAGACAAAAGACUCCCUGCCCCAAACGGCAGUCAUCCCACAGUCAGCACUUCUGGAAGGAAGGAAGGAAGGUUUCCUUCUGCAGAAAGCUCCUUUUUACUUUGUUUCUGACGCCAGGGAGGGUCAGCAGAGCCCAGCGCACCUGUGGUGCCUGAGUUACCAUCUAUGCCCAGGAUGUGCG
This 484-nucleotide non-coding RNA is filed under the name Pan troglodytes (chimpanzee). The record is from RNAcentral. Lineage: Eukaryota; Metazoa; Chordata; Mammalia; Primates; Hominidae.